The sequence is a small nucleolar RNA, 135 nucleotides long. Its record names the gene SNORA75. It matches the Rfam family "Small nucleolar RNA SNORA75". Rfam says of the family: U23 belongs to the H/ACA class of snoRNAs. snoRNAs bind a number of proteins (including dyskerin, Gar1p and Nop10p in the case of the H/ACA class) to form snoRNP complexes. This class are thought to guide the sites of modification of uridines to pseudouridines by forming direct base pairing interactions with substrate RNAs. The record is from Ensembl.
ACCUUCUCACUGAGCUCCUUUCUGUCAUUCGGUGGCAGUUUAUGGAUUCGCACGAGAAGAAGAGACAAUUCACAGUUAGCAUUAUUUUGCCCUCUGUCUUCACAGAGGUAUAUUCUGCUGAUCUGUGAGACAUUU